CCCUUAGAUGUUCUGGGCUGCACGCGCGCUACACUGAAGCGUUCAACGAGUGUAUAACCUGUUUCGUCAGAACUGGGUAAUCUUGAAAGCGCUUCGUGAUGGGGAUAGUCGGUUGCAAUUGUCCGACUUCAACGAGGAAUUCCUAGUAAGCGCGAGUCAUCAGCUCGCACUGAUUACGUCCCUGCCCUUUGUACACACCGCCCGUCGCACCUACCGAUUGAAUGGUCCGGUGAAGCCUCCGGAUUGGCGUGCACUCUCGGGUGCUGCCGAGAAGUUGGCUAAACCUUACCAUUUAGAGGAAGGUGAANUCGUAACA
This 316-nucleotide ribosomal RNA is filed under the name uncultured eukaryote. Its description in RNAcentral is "partial 18S ribosomal RNA". It matches the Rfam family "Eukaryotic small subunit ribosomal RNA", at positions 1470 to 1796 of the family's 1831-position model. The record is from RNAcentral.